AUGCUUUACAGAGCCAGCUUUUGCUUGAUGAUACAUCCAUGUUGGAUUGGCGUCAUGAAGAGUGAGAUGUACUUAACGUUUUCUCCAGAGAUUGUUAACCAAGAUAACAUUUAUUUGGGGAACAGGUUGCCCUGGGUACGUACGGAAAAAGCAAAGCACAUCGCCUGUGGGACUUGGAUGAAUAGACGUGGGAAAGAGACAUCGUGCGGGAUGGAAUUGGUGACCAGUCCACAGUCCAGAUUUCCAAAUAGUUGCUUUAUCCAACCCUUGAGAUGUUAUAAUUAGCUAUGCCCUGCCUUUCUUGUGGGUAUAAUAUGGUAGAUAUUGGGAUGGCGGGAAGAUACUUAAAAAGUUUCAAAUAGUACCGAUACCAGGAUUAUUUUUGUGCUCCUAUUUAAUGUCCUACUUAAUUCACUUACUUGGAGACACUGUAUUAUGUGGAAGAGGGAGUUUACCGUGGUGCUUAGGAUAGGAACAGGCUUUGGAGCAAGGCACACCUGGUUUUCCGUUCUUGUUCUACCUCUAACCAGUUAGGUGACUGCAUCUCUGUAGGCCUUGACUUCACCGUCUGAAAAAUGGGGAUAAUAAUUCUUGCACCACUGUGAUUUUAGGGACAUUUAGUGAGAUAAUACUGCCUGUAUGCCAUGCUCGGCCUCCUGCGGGACUCUCCGCGAGUCCUUGGUACAGUGUGGCUAUGAUUCUAACCAUGACUGAAAUAGACCAAACGUGUCAUUCAGCUUGCAACACUUCACGUGGAAGGGAGGAGUCUCCUUCCACAGCAGCAGGAUUCACGGGGCCUCCAUAUUCCUCAGAGAAGGGCCCCCAAAUCCAUGCUCUUUUGUUUAUAGCUUUAUUGGAAGCCAGUUAAGCACCACCAUAUUUCACUUUAAUGCCAGUGUAAAUUUGAAAAUAUUUCACUGAAUUAUCCUUGCAUAAACGUUUGCUCUCUCUCUUUUUCGUUCGUUCAAGAAAUAUUUAUUGCAUACCUGUUAUAUGCCAGGCCCUGUGCUAGGUGCUGGGGAUCAGACAGUGAAUAGGGUAGAAAUGGCUGUGCAUUUAGGAAGGUUACAAUGUGGUGGGGACACACACACAAAAGACCAGCGGACAGGCAAUUGCAAGGCAACACAUUCAGUGCUGUGGCAGGAGUAAGGUGCUACCGGAGAAUUUUGCUGGGGUGCUGAACCCAGGUUUUGGGGAGUUGACUCUGGAAGUGGGAUCAUUUUUAAAAAUUUAUUUAUUCUUGAGAGAGAGAGAGAGAGAGAGAGAGAGAGAGAGAGCAAGCAGG
Molecule: long non-coding RNA, 1285 nt
Filed under: Felis catus (domestic cat)
Lineage: Eukaryota; Metazoa; Chordata; Mammalia; Carnivora; Felidae
Description: lncRNA (ENSFCAG00000050803.1)
Source: RNAcentral